Long non-coding RNA from Vidua macroura (Pin-tailed whydah), 705 nucleotides. RefSeq lists it as uncharacterized. Lineage: Eukaryota; Metazoa; Chordata; Aves; Passeriformes; Viduidae. The transcript has 3 exons. The record is from RefSeq and is a predicted model, not a curated record.
AAAUGGAUGAUACUGUGAGAGUGGAGACUACUUUGAAAAGCCUGGGGUGUGGUCUGAACACUGAGUCUGCAGUACACGAGCUACUGAGUGCUCUGUGAACUCCUCCAAGAGGCAGGGGGGCAAAGGGAGCAAAGAAAAGCAUUUCCCACCUUGGCUAAACCUUUUGUGAAACAAAAUGAAAGCAGCUAGAAAUGAAGAGUUGGAAUGGGGUGAGCAUUCCUAGAAAUGCCACAACCACUUAGGAUGACAAGCCAACAGGGAUGCUCUCUGAACCGAUCAGGACUUUUCCAGAUGCCAGGAAGCAUUUUGUCAUUGCAACGUUCUAGUUUUCUUCUGUCCCAUUUUUAUGGGGGAAAAAAAGAAUGUAGCAUAAUGAAUGGAAAUAGAAUGCAGAUGAGGAGCUAUUGGUGCUUGACUGCAACCUUGCUUUCUGGAAGUCAGAAGAUAUUGAGAUUUCUGCUCAGGUCAUGGUAAAAUGCAUCUUGCUCCUAUUUUCACCUUGUUAAGCAGCGUUCUUAGUGAAGCUGGGCAGGCGCCGGGCAAGCUCCUGCCGGCGGCUCAUCCCCGCAGGGCUUUUCCUGGGCAGGGGCGGCCUGGGCACGGCCAGCCUCCGUGCCUGCCGCGUCGGCCUCGUCCGCGGCAUCGGCAGGCGCGGCGCAAACCGCAAACCCCUUUGCCUCUUCGGGCAGCGCCCUGGCGAGAGGC